UACGAAGGGUGCAAGCGUUAAUCGGAAUUACUGGGCGUAAAGCGCGCGUAGGUGGUUCAGUAAGUUGGAAGUGAAAUCCCCGGGCUCAACCUGGGAACUGCUUUCAAAACUGCUGAGCUAGAGUACGGUAGAGGGUGGUGGAAUUUCCUGUGUAGCGGUGAAAUGCGUAGAUAUAGGAAGGAACACCAGUGGCGAAGGCGACCCCCUGGACUGAUACUGACACUGAGGUGCGAAAGCGUGGGGAGCAAACAGG
Molecule: ribosomal RNA, 253 nt
Filed under: uncultured bacterium
Lineage: Bacteria
Description: partial 16S ribosomal RNA
Rfam family: Bacterial small subunit ribosomal RNA
Source: RNAcentral